UUUGACAGUUUCUCAAGAUACAACAAAAGUUUAGCGUUUUUUCUAAAAAACGUUGAAAACAUUUAAUUUUAUUUAUUUACCAAAAUUAUAGACAUUAUUCGCGAAUGCUGAUAUAAAAGGCAUCCGUACAAUGAAUUCGACAAUAUCUGAAGAUUUAUCUAGGGAACAUUUGGCAUUGGAAGUAGCGAAGUGUACUCAAAACAUAUUCUCAAACAAUCGUAAUUUGGUUUCAUUGCACCAGGAGUUAUUGGAAAUAAACUUAUCUGUUGGUGCAUAUAUUGAGGAAAGCAAGCGUCGACUGGCAGGCCUAAGGUUGGACUUGGCUCACGCGGCAAAAGAUUCAUACAGUGUUGUGGACGUGCUCUCUGAGAAAUAAAUCACUAUGUCCUAUUCAUCACCAACUCAGCGCAAACACAACACUAGAUCAGUAUCUUUAAAUUUACAAGAAGACAAAAACAAAAGUAAUGACCGUUUACGGGCCAGAUCAUUUACAUCAUGGUACAAGAAUAUGGUAGAUCAUGAUCGGCAGAAUUUAACGUUAUACAUGUCAGAUGAUGUUAUCUUAGAAUGGUUUGGAAGAACAAUAAAAACUAGAAAAAAAGUUUGUUCAUUUUUAAAACAUGACAUGCAAUGCUCAAGACAUGAUUUUCUUACGGUUCAAAGUGUAGAUAAAAUACAGAAUCGUCAGGAAAGAUCUCCAAGUUUCAGAAAGGAGAAAGAUGCUGGCUGUAUGCAUAACUCUCCAGAACUAAGUAUUAAUAAGACAGAAAGAAAGCGACGAUUAUUAAGAUCAAAUUGUAGCAGUCCAGAGUGGGCUGAGGGUUGCCAGCCUCUCGACGAAGUAAAAGACACUGGUAAUAAAAGAUUAAAGGGAAGCAACGUUACUGCAGAACAUGAAUGCAAAAAUGGAGAUGUUACUCAGAAAAAUGGAGUUAAGAGGGGAUAUGAGUCUGAAGAAAGCAUAGAUGUUAACAGUACAGGAGAUGGAGUUAUACGGAGGCGUGUGAAACGCAAAUUAGUGCCGGUCACACCACCGAAUCGUGAGUUGGGUCAAGGAGACUGUCUUCCAUCAACAAGUGCAGAUUCAGAUAAGUCUCAUGACGCUCUGAAUGCUCAAUUGCCGAAGCUGUUUGUGGAAUGUAAUGGUUACAUUGAGUUCAGCCGAACAAAAAACAACCGUGAUGUUGAUUCAAUGAAGUGGGAAAGGAAAUGUAAAAUACAGAUCAGCUAUUCUGAAGACCCAUUGAAUGUUGGGGAGUAUAUUAUCUGGGCUGUGCACUACACCGAUGAAACCAAAUGCCGUAGGAAUCUCUUGCCAGCGUUCGAGGAGGUCGCAAAAGAAGAGGAAUUAAAAAACAAAGGUUAGCCAAAAUUACAGGGUUAUUAAACUCCAACACUCAAAUGAUAUUAUUGAUUUAUUUUAUUUUAGAACUUCAUACUUUAAAAUAUUCUUUUCUGAUAAAAUAUUAAGGUCACAAAAUUAAAUUGCAUUUCCUUUUUUUCCCUAUUUUUGAAGUGUUUAAUGAUCCUGUAAUAAAAUAACAGAAUGUUUUUGUGUUUAAAUUGUUCAACAAUGUAAUGAUUUUUAUGGUUUACCAAAUUCUGAAAUUUAUGUUGAUAUGAAAUUCAAUGCCUGGUUUUGGAAACACUCAGUUUAUUUUGUAUUUACAUAAAAAAAAACAAUAUGUCUGCAAUUUUACUAUUUGAUAGAUGAUGUGAUAUAAAGAUUGUAUUUUUGUAUAAUAUAGCAUUUAUUUUAUACUGUUUUAUAAUGUGGAAGUAUGUUUAUACUACACUGUGACAAUGCUUUAGCCUUAUAUGAAUUAUUAAAACUGCAUAGUUAAAUAUUCUAAUAGCUGUGUGCUCUCAUACAUGUUAUCUGAUAUAAGUUGUGUAUAAAAAAUAUUCAAAUUCCAUUUGAUUCCUAUAUCUUGUGCCAUUCCAAUGUUGAUUUUCAACUUGUAUAAAUGGUUUUCAUUUCAUCCAAUUAUGUAUACAUAAAUAAUGGCUUGACGUUCGUUGCAGGCCAAGGAACAUCUUUUAGAUCACAUUUUAAGUACAUACUUUACUUGUAUUUAACAAAAAAUGCCACCAGGUGGCGCCACCUUUACCCGUAUAAAAAUUCUCGUUCUAUUGCAAUUAAUUAGAUACUUAAAAAGCGUGUUCAAAAGUUCGCAUUAGCUUCGUUAACUAAUUUUUUUAAAAUCUGUCAAUAAUAACAUCAAGUUAUUCUUAUUUCGCCAUCUGAAUAAGUAUUCCCACUUCUCCGUAAUUUUUACAUUGCGAUUUCCUAUGAACCAUUCUAUUUCUAUGUACCACCGACUAGUUGCUUACUCACUAGAUAUAAUUUUUAGAUUAGUCUGACUAAAAAGUCAUAGGUAUAGAAACCUAGGAUAGGAAUCCAAAUAAUGUUGAGAAAGUUUGUAUUGUAAUACGACAGAUGAAGAUUGUUAUAAUUAUGUAGUUAUAUUCCCAUAUUAAACUACAAUGCCUUUCGACAUUGUUCAAUAGCUUUAUCUAAUGGUAGAUUUAAUUUGAAAAAUGUUAUUGUAAUCCUUGAGGGUAUGUUAUUUUCAUAAAUAGUUUACGAAAUACUAUUCUAUAGUUAAGCCUCGCGUAGAGCACUAAUUGCGAUAAUGUAUUAUUUUAGUUUAUUUUGGACUUAUCCCAUUUGUAAACUGCUGGUACAGUCGCGUCAAAUAGUGACACCCAAAGUAGCCUAAAAAUUCGCAACACGUCUUUGGUAAGGUGUUAAAUCUUUUUGCUACUUUGGGUGCCACGAACUACUUGACGCUGACCGUACAUACUGCCUUCCCUGGAGGCUUAAAAUGUCAAUGUGGUAAACAUACUAUACAACAUUGCAAUGUGGUAGCAGCCACUGUUUGUAUCUUUUCCUGCUUUGGGUGACCUCUAGCACGAAACACUUUCGACUUCGAAUCUUAUGUGUAUUUAAAUGGUAGCACGAAACUAAUAUUGGCAAUCGAGAUCGUCACGUUAUCGUUGAAAUUUUGUCGAAUACGCAAACGAGUUUUUCGUGCUAGAAGAGGUACAGAUUUCAGCUACUCCGGCAAUUCUGUUACAUUUAAAAUAUACCGUUAUAACUUUAUACCUAAUGUAAAACAUAUUAUCUGCCAAAAUAUUAGCAAUACAGAGUGUUUAUUAUUGAAAUUGUUCAUGUAUUGUGAAUGAGAUUUGCAAGUAACAAAAUGUAUGUCUAUUUUUAAGUUUUAUGUUGUUGUAGUCAUUACUUGUGAAGUAAUGGGAAUGGAUAGAUUUUUGUUUGAUUAUGCUAGAAAUGUAUAAGACGAAAAUAAAGUUUGUUUAGAUUAUA
Molecule: long non-coding RNA, 3331 nt
Organism: Ostrinia nubilalis (European corn borer)
Lineage: Eukaryota; Metazoa; Arthropoda; Insecta; Lepidoptera; Crambidae
Exons: 4
Source: RefSeq, a predicted model, not a curated record